GAUGAACGCUGGCGGCGUGCCUAAUACAUGCAAGUCGAGCGAACAGACGAGGAGCUUGCUCCUCUGACGUUAGCGGCGGACGGGUGAGUAACACGUGGAUAACCUACCUAUAAGACUGGGAUAACUUCGGGAAACCGGAGCUAAUACCGGAUAAUAUAUUGAACCGCAUGGUUCAAUAGUGAAAUACGGUUUUUCUGUCACUUAUAGAUGUAUCCGCGCCGCAUUAGCUAGUUGGUAAGGUAACGGCUUACCAAGGCAACGAUGCGUAGCCGACCUGAGAGGGUGAUCGGCCACACUGGAACUGAGACACGGUCCAGACUCCUACGGGAGGCAGCAGUAGGGAAUCUGCCGCAAUGGGCGAAAGCAUGACGGAGCAACGCCGAGUGAGUGAUGAAGGUCUUCGGAUCGUAAAACUCUGUUAUUAGGGAAGAACAAAUGUGUAAGUAACUAUGCACGUCUUGACGGUACCUAAUCAGAAAGCAACGGCUAACUACGUG
This 497-nucleotide ribosomal RNA is filed under the name uncultured bacterium. RNAcentral's name for it is "partial 16S ribosomal RNA". It matches the Rfam family "Bacterial small subunit ribosomal RNA", at positions 28 to 507 of the family's 1533-position model. The record is from RNAcentral.